CCUUCAUGCAUGCGCGGAGGCCGCCUGCUAGCAAGGUGCUGAACCUGAGAGCAGCCCCAGUACACUCCCUGCAUGGGAAUCUCCAUCUCAAAGUCAGCCUCCAGGGAGCCCGCCCUGAAACAGAUUCUGUCAUGGAACUCAACAGAGUAUCCUGGUGCGGAUAACCAGUGUUGGGAGUUAGAGCACGGACUCUCUCCACCUGCACGGUGCUGGAGCUCUGCACACCCCCUCUGCAGCCAUCCCUCGCCGCUGUCCCUUAGCUGACGCCCUUGCCCUCUGUGUGUCCUUCCUCAUGGCCUGCAGGUUUCAGAUCCCAAGCUACAGAUCAUGUCUUCUAGUCUGGGCUCUGGCAGAGAGUUCGGAAGCACUCUUAUUAUCUUAGCAGCAGCAUGUGUGGAAAUCAUUUCUCAUUACAGCGGAGGGCAGGCAUUGUGCAGAGGGUUAAGUGGGCCUGCUUGAAGUUGGUUGUUGUUAGCUCUCAUGUCUAUGCCUUGGUCCCUUUCCCCUCAGGACUUGGAGAGCAAGCUGUUUGAGUCUGAUGCAACCCCUGGGCUUUGACUAUCAUGCCAAAAGGCAGCAAAUAAGUGCCUUUUCUUCCCUUCAGAAUACAUGGACAAUCCAAAGCUCUAUUAGUCUAUUAUUCAGAAUGAAAAGUGUUUACAAUAUUCGUCCUCUUACUCCUCAGUAUGUGAGACUGUUCCUCGUAGCAGGUAAUUUCUUCCGAAUUCAAAAACUCCUCAUGGAAGCAUCUGUUUUUGUCAUCAAGGAGGGGGCUGUAUGUGGAAUUGCAAGGCCAAAGACAUCUCGGGUCAACUCUUCUCAGGACCAGAUCCAAGUCGCCAGUGAGAACACACAUUCAGGCAGCCUCCACCAGCGCCCUGCCUCAGGAGCGAGGCUCCCUGCUUCAUGUGGGCAAGAGCUGCCCUUGUUUUCCCAGCGGGCAGUUGGGGGUCUGGAGCCUAGGAAGCAAAGUGAAGCACACACUCCUGCUUCCUUCCUUCCCUGCAGUUGAGACGGGAGUCUUACUUUGUUGCCCAGGCUGGUCUCAAACUCCUGGCUUCAAGCAAUCCUUCCACUUUGGCCUUCCAAAGUGCUGGGAUUACAGGCAUGAGCCACCAUGCCCAGCCUCCUUCUCUUACUAGCUGAGAACUAAGAGAAGACACUCUGGAGACAGAGGAGGAAACAGUGACGAUGCCACAUGAUGAAUACAUAAUGGAGGGUGAAGACAAGGCUCCGUCAGGGGCACCAAGGAGGGAAACCCAGUUCUGUGGGGAAGGUAUGGGGCAGCUUCACAAGCCCAGUGUCUGCUCCCUUUGUGGGAGACGUGUUGUUUCAGCAUCCAUUCCCCCUUCUUUUAGGAAAAGUGCUUGAAUUUCCUUUUCAUGGAACCACCCACCUCCCUCUCAUCCAUGCAUUCUAUUCCCAGUAUCAGGGGUAGACAAGUGACUUCAGGCUUGGCCAAUUAGGGUUCUGACUCUUGGUCAAAUCAGAGUGAAUCCUGAGUCAUUUGUAAACUCCAAGGAAAGGGCUUGCUUUGUUUUCUGUUGAAUGCAGUGCUCUGAGAUAGCCGGAAAUGAAACUGCUCUCUUGCCACACUGAAGGCUAGAGAAGGGCCUGGCCAGGAAAUGAUGCCAGUGAUCAGGGGUGGAGCUGGAAGAGGGGGAGUGAGGAGGCCCAGACAUCUUGGGAGCCCCAAAUUCACCUCAGGAUUUAACUUCUCCGCUGCUCAGCCAAUAAAU
This is a long non-coding RNA of Homo sapiens (human), 1739 nucleotides long. Ensembl annotates it as STARD7 antisense RNA 1. Its record names the gene STARD7-AS1. Lineage: Eukaryota; Metazoa; Chordata; Mammalia; Primates; Hominidae. The record is from Ensembl.